Molecule: ribosomal RNA, 400 nt
Filed under: Ehrlichia canis
Lineage: Bacteria; Pseudomonadati; Pseudomonadota; Alphaproteobacteria; Rickettsiales; Anaplasmataceae
Description: bacterial SSU rRNA
Rfam family: Bacterial small subunit ribosomal RNA
Source: RNAcentral
AUAGCCUCUGGCUAUAGGAAAUUGUUAGUGGCAGACGGGUGAGUAAUGCGUAGGAAUCUACCUAGUAGUACGGAAUAGCCAUUAGAAAUGGUGGGUAAUACUGUAUAAUCCCCGAGGGGGAAAGAUUUAUCGCUAUUAGAUGAGCCUACGUUAGAUUAGCUAGUUGGUGAGGUAAUGGCUUACCAAGGCUAUGAUCUAUAGCUGGUCUGAGAGGACGAUCAGCCACACUGGAACUGAGAUACGGUCCAGACUCCUACGGGAGGCAGCAGUGGGGAAUAUUGGACAAUGGGCGAAAGCCUGAUCCAGCUAUGCCGCGUGAGUGAAGAAGGCCUUCGGGUUGUAAAACUCUUUCAAUAGGGAAGAUAAUGACGGUACCUAUAGAAGAAGUCCCGGCAAACUC